GACGAACGCUGGCGGCGUGCCUAAUACAUGCAAGUCGAACGAACUCUGGUAUUGAUUGGUGCUUGCAUCAUGAUUUACAUUUGAGUGAGUGGCGAACUGGUGAGUAACACGUGGGAAACCUGCCCAGAAGCGGGGGAUAACACCUGGAAACAGAUGCUAAUACCGCAUAACAACUUGGACCGCAUGGUCCGAGUUUGAAAGAUGGCUUCGGCUAUCACUUUUGGAUGGUCCCGCGGCGUAUUAGCUAGAUGGUGGGGUAACGGCUCACCAUGGCAAUGAUACGUAGCCGACCUGAGAGGGUAAUCGGCCACAUUGGGACUGAGACACGGCCCAAACUCCUACGGGAGGCAGCAGUAGGGAAUCUUCCACAAUGGACGAAAGUCUGAUGGAGCAACGCCGCGUGAGUGAAGAAGGGUUUCGGCUCGUAAAACUCUGUUGUUAAAGAAGAACAUAUCUGAGAGUAACUGUUCAGGUAUUGACGGUAUUUAACCAGAAAGCCACGGCUAACUACGUGCCAGCAGCCGCGGUAAUACGUAGGUGGCAAGCGUUGUCCGGAUUUAUUGGGCGUAAAGCGAGCGCAGGCGGUUUUUUAAGUCUGAUGUGAAAGCCUUCGGCUCAACCGAAGAAGUGCAUCGGAAACUGGGAAACUUGAGUGCAGAAGAGGACAGUGGAACUCCAUGUGUAGCGGUGAAAUGCGUAGAUAUAUGGAAGAACACCAGUGGCGAAGGCGGCUGUCUGGUCUGUAACUGACGCUGAGGCUCGAAAGUAUGGGUAGCAAACAGGAUUAGAUACCCUGGUAGUCCAUACCGUAAACGAUGAAUGCUAAGUGUUGGAGGGUUUCCGCCCUUCAGUGCUGCAGCUAACGCAUUAAGCAUUUCGCCUGGGGAGUACGGCCGCAAGGCUGAAACUCAAAGGAAUUGACGGGGGCCCGCACAAGCGGUGGAGCAUGUGGUUUAAUUCGAAGCUACGCGAAGAACCUUACCAGGUCUUGACAUACUAUGCAAAUCUAAGAGAUUAGACGUUCCCUUCGGGGACAUGGAUACAGGUGGUGCAUGGUUGUCGUCAGCUCGUGUCGUGAGAUGUUGGGUUAAGUCCCGCAACGAGCGCAACCCUUAUUAUCAGUUGCCAGCAUUAAGUUGGGCACUCUGGUGAGACUGCCGGUGACAAACCGGAGGAAGGUGGGGAUGACGUCAAAUCAUCAUGCCCCUUAUGACCUGGGCUACACACGUGCUACAAUGGAUGGUACAACGAGUUGCGAACUCGCGAGAGUAAGCUAAUCUCUUAAAGCCAUUCUCAGUUCGGAUUGUAGGCUGCAACUCGCCUACAUGAAGUCGGAAUCGCUAGUAAUCGCGGAUCAGCAUGCCGCGGUGAAUACGUUCCCGGGCCUUGUACACACCGCCCGUCACACCAUGAGAGUUUGUAACACCCAAAGUCGGUGGGGUAACCUUUUAGGAACCAGCCGCCUAAGGUGGGACAGAUGGUUAGGGUG
RNAcentral lists this ribosomal RNA (1489 nucleotides) under Lactiplantibacillus plantarum. RNAcentral describes it as "bacterial SSU rRNA". It matches the Rfam family "Bacterial small subunit ribosomal RNA". Lineage: Bacteria; Bacillati; Bacillota; Bacilli; Lactobacillales; Lactobacillaceae. The record is from RNAcentral.